AAGUCGUAACAAGGUUUCCGUAGGUGAACCUGCGGAAGGAUCAUUCAUAAUAAGUGUUUUAUGGCACUUUUUAAAUCCAUAUCCACCUUGUGUGCAAACAAUGGAAAAGAGAGAAUAUUGGAUGCUUUUUUGUAUCCAACCUCUCUAAAGUUUUUUACAAACUCCAUCAAAUUUUGAAAUAAAACUAUUUUUUUAUAAAAAAUAUUAUACAACUUUCAACAACGGAUCUCUUGGCUCUC
RNAcentral lists this unclassified non-coding RNA (239 nucleotides) under Mortierella sp. Its description in RNAcentral is "partial internal transcribed spacer region". The stretch from base 1 to 46 matches the Rfam family "Eukaryotic small subunit ribosomal RNA", at positions 1786 to 1831 of the family's 1831-position model. The record is from RNAcentral. Lineage: Eukaryota; Fungi; Mortierellomycota; Mortierellomycetes; Mortierellales; Mortierellaceae.